This 512-nucleotide ribosomal RNA is filed under the name uncultured bacterium. RNAcentral's name for it is "partial 16S ribosomal RNA". It matches the Rfam family "Bacterial small subunit ribosomal RNA", at positions 28 to 523 of the family's 1533-position model. The record is from RNAcentral.
GACGAACGCUGGCGGCGUGCCUAAUACAUGCAAGUCGAGCGGAUUGAUGGGAGCUUGCUCCCUGAUAUCAGCGGCGGACGGGUGAGUAACACGUGGGCAACCUGCCUAUAAGACUGGGAUAACUUCGGGAAACCGGAGCUAAUACCGGAUAAUCCCUUUCCUCUCAUGAGGAAAGGCUGAAAGAUGGGUUACGCUAUCACUUAUAGAUGGGCCCGCGGCGCAUUAGCUAGUUGGUGAGGUAACGGCGCACCAAGGCAACGAUGCGUAGCCGACCUGAGAGGGGGAUCGGCCAAACUGGGACUGAGACACGGCCCAGACUCCUACGGGAGACAGCAGUAGGGAAUCUGCCGCAAUGGACGAAAGUCUGACGGAGCAACGCCGCGUGAGUGAUGAAGGUUUUCGGAUCGUAAAACUCUGUUGUUAGGGAAGAACAAGUACGAGAGUAACUGCUCGUACCUUGACGGUACCUAACCAGAAAGCCACGGCUAACUACGUGCCAGCAGCCGCCGUAA